This 735-nucleotide ribosomal RNA is filed under the name uncultured bacterium. Its description in RNAcentral is "bacterial SSU rRNA". It matches the Rfam family "Bacterial small subunit ribosomal RNA", at positions 335 to 1064 of the family's 1533-position model. The record is from RNAcentral.
ACUCCUACGGGUGGCGGCAGUGGGGAAUAUUGGACAAUGGGGGCAACCCUGAUCCAGCAAUGCCGCGUGUGUGAAGAAGGCCUUAGGGUUGUAAAGCACUUUCGUUAGUGAAGAAAGGUUUAUGGCUAAUACCUAUGAAUUUGACAUUAGCUAAAGAAGAAGCACCGGCUAACUCCGUGCCAGCAGCCGCGGUAAUACGGAGGGUGCAAGCGUUAUUCGGAAUGACUGGGCGUAAAGCGCACGCAGGCGGUUAUUUAAGUCAGAUGUGAAAGCCCCGGGCUUAACCUGGGAAUUGCAUUUGAAACUGGGUAACUAGAGUAUGUCAGAGGAAGGCGGAAUUUCCAGUGUAGCAGUGAAAUGCGUAGAGAUUGGAAGGAACACCGAUGGCGAAGGCAGCCUUCUGGGGCAAUACUGACGCUCAUGUGCGAAAGCGUGGGUAGCAAACAGGAUUAGAUACCCUGGUAGUCCACGCCCUAAACGAUGUCAACUAGGUGUUGGGCACUUAAGUGCUCGGUACCGCAGCUAACGCAUUAAGUUGACCGCCUGGGGAGUACGGCCGCAAGGUUGAAACUCAAAGAAAUUGACGGGGACCCGCACAAGCGGUGGAGCAUGUGGUUUAAUUCGAUGCAACGCGAAGAACCUUACCAGGCCUUGACAUCCAGAGAACAAAGCAGAGAUGCUAUGGUGCCUUCGGGAACUCUGAGACAGGUGGUGCAUGGAUGUCGUCAGCUCGUG